UGUUCUUCCUUCCUAGGCUGAUUGUGUCUACACACUUCAGUUGUUAACUGAUCCUGCUUUCGGACCCUAUGGAAAUGAAAGUAAAACUGAGAUGAUACUGAAUGGUUACUAGGAAGCAGCCAGCUGACAGCAAGGAGGAGAACAGGGUGUUUCUCUGCUCCUUGUUGGUCAAGAUCACCACUGAUGAUUUGCCAGUUCGAUCCAGGUGUUGCUAAGAAAUAAUAUUUAAAAAUAUAACGACUGCUUUUUAUAUCUGUGCUUAGCAAGGUAAAUGCAACACUGCCUUUCUGAAAAGAUUUUGAAACCUUCCUCAACUCAACUGAAAUGCUCUGCACCUGGAACUACUCUUAAAAUAUAUUCUAACUCAGACUGAUGCAGAAUGCAGCAAAUUAUUUGGCAAAGAAUAUAGUGCAUUGGAGAGCAACAGCAAUGUCUUUCCCUGUACCAGGAAGCAUCAUAAGAUCCCCUGAAGGUAGCAGAGCACUGAUGCUCCUUGCAUGUUCUUCAAAGUGCUAUAAAUGGGAUUUAGCCCUGCAACUCAGAAGUGGAGCCUAGUCACUGCCUUGGAACAUCUUACCAUCAUUAAUCCAUGUGGAGAUGUGACCAGUCAUUGGUGGACGAGAGCUCCCUAUCAUUUUCCAGAAUUCAAUGUCCUGGAUAAGCUGAAAACAACAACAUCAAAUGGAAAUAAGUGAAUACAGCCAUGAUCCAAGGGAAAAGAAGAAACGUGAAACAUAGAAGCUAUAUGUUUUUAAGAUGAAAGGGGAAGAACUGACAGAAAAAGAGGAUAGACUAGAAUUGAUUAAUUACUUUCUUGAAAAAAUGGGAGAGGAAGUAAGAACUAAGUAAAAUUAGCAUUAGAAGAAAAUAAGCUGGUGAAUUUAGUGAAGACUGAUGGAACACAUUUAAUUGAUGAAAAAAGAGUCCUCCUCCUCAAACUUCAAAUUCGAGUAUUUGAACUGUCCAAAUUUGGUUUGUGGUUGAGAUGAAGGGGAAGUUGGGAAGAAAAUGAACUAGGAUUUUGAAGAGGAAAACUGGCCCACUUGAGGGGUCAUCUUAAGUCUACCCUCAAACGUAACAAUGCAGAAGAUGGCUCAUACAAAGCUUGAACUGUGAAACUCAUGUUUCAAUUUGAAACAGCUCAUGAGAAAACAGUGUGAAUUAUCUGCAAGCUAUUGUUUCAUGCUAUUCUGCUUUUCGAUUAUUUUUAUUUAUGGAAACAUGCAGAUGGAUGAAAUAACAUAUUUUGUUUACAGAAGUUGAUUUUGGAUGCAUGGCCUAGUAGAAGCUAUAUAAAGUCAAACGUCUUGAAGGAUCACUACUUUCAGCUUGGCAAAAUGUGAAGCAAAUAAGUAUUAUGCUGUUAAAUAUUGCCAUUAAGCAGGAAAUACAUAUGCAACUAGAUCACCUAAAUUUAUGUGCCAAUUACAAGCCGUGUUUACAUGCUUAGUUGUCUUUCCUCAAAGGCUUACCCACCUUUUUUUAUGCUUCCAAUUACACAGACAAUUGCUAUUAUUAGGCAAGCAGUAAAAAUGUAUCAGUUAAAAAAAUUGUGUCAAACUUAGAAGACAGAAGAACUGUUGAGAAGCAGUAGACUUUUCACCUCCAAUCUCAAAAAAAGAGCAUCUGAAGGUUUGGUAGAGUAAAUAUCCUCUUCUAUUUCAUAUGUUUGUUGUGAAAUUUGUUUCAUUUAUUUCAAUUAGGAAAAAAAAAAAAAAAGAUAUCUUACUCCAUUGAAACUCAUAGGAACUUCACAGCUUGCUCCCUGACUCUCCAGCAGCAAAGCAGGACCUUCAACAACAUUUUGCUAGACAAGACUCUGUGUAAUAAAUGUGUCAGGUUUUUUUGUGUUAGCUUUUGUUGAUCUUUAUGCUAUAAUAAGUCCCUGAGGCUUGCUGUGAUUCACCUCAGAAUACUAAAGGAGUUAGUGGCUGUUAGAGCUGUACCUCUCUCAACAAUUUACCAAAGUUCUUGGGAGUCAGGAGAUGUCCUUGCUGACUGAGAGGUAGCCAACGUUAUACCCAGCUACCAAAAGGACAAGAGGGAAAAUACUGAUAGUCUACUCUCCACCCCUGAAAAAGUUAUGAAGAGGGUUAUCCUGGGUGCUACUGAAAGUCAGUUAAAGAACAAAGCUAUAGUCAAGCAUAGUCAAUAUCGGUUCAUGAAGGGGAAUUCCAACCUUAGUAAUUAAAACUUCUAUGAUAAGGUCACCCACUUGGUGAAAGAAGGGAAGAUGGUGGAUGUAACCUUUCUAGAUUUUAUUUAAGCCUUUGAUACUAUCUCUCACAGCAUCCUUCCAGACCAAUCAUCCAGCUGUGAGAUAAACAGGUCGACAAUACACCGAGUGAUGAACUAGCAGAACUCAAAGGGCUGUGGUGAAUGGGACUGGUGGCUGGUGGCUGGUGACUAGUGGUUCUCCCCCGGGGCUUAUUUCUAGGGCCAGUCCCAUUCAAUAUUUUUAUCAGUGAUCUUGAUGCAGGAGUGGAGUGCAUUCUCAGCAAGUUUUCUUGUGCCACUAAACAGGAAGGUGCUGCUGACUCCUUGAGGGAUGAGGGGGCUUGAAGAGGAAUCUAGACAGACUGGAAUACUGGAAAAUCACCAAUGGCAUGAAGUUCAACAAAAGUAAAAUGCUGGAUUCUCAGAUGGAGCAAAGCCAUUCACAGGUACAAUCUAGGAGAUGAGUAGCUGGAGAGCAGUUCAGCAGAAAGGGCUCAGCAUGAACCUGCAGUAUGCUUUGGGAUCCAGGAGGGUAAACUGCAUUUUAGAGUGCAUUGCUUAGGUGAAAUCUCUCCUUGAAUACUGUGUGCAGUUCUGGGGUACAUACUAUAAAAAGGAUGUUAAGGUCCUUGAAAUGAUCUAGAGGAGUGCAACAAAGCUAGUAAAAGGGCUGGAGGGCAUGUGCUGUGACAAGAGGCUGAGGUCCGGAGAAAACACAAUUUUCUAGUCUGGAGAACAGAAAGCUGAGAGGAGACCUCAUUACUUUUUACAAAUUCCUGAGGAGGUGGAGUGGAAGGUACUAGUCUGUGCACUCUGGUAAGCGAUGAUAGGAUGCACAGGAAAGGCAAGAAAUUGCCCCAUGGGAGGUUCAGACUGGAUAUGAUGAAAAAUUUCUCUACUGGGAGGGUGGUCAAGCACUGAAGCAGGCUCCCUGUAGAGGUGGUUGAUGCUCUAUGCCUGUCAGUAUUCGAGAGGGAUUUGGAUAAUAUCUUCAAUAACAUGCUUUAGUUUUCAGUUAGCCCUGAAUUUGUCAAGCAGUUGGACUUGAUGCUUGAUAACCUUUGUAGAUCCUUUCCAACUGAACCAUUCUAUUCUAGUUCUGUUCUGCCAUUUAUAAUGAUAAAAAUAUAUGCUAAUCAGCAAAAGUUUGGCAACAUGGUACAUCUUAUAAUAUUUUAUGUUAGAUGCUAUUACUUUAAUUUCCAAAAAAUUUGAGGAGCCUGCUA
Molecule: long non-coding RNA, 3443 nt
Organism: Meleagris gallopavo (turkey)
Lineage: Eukaryota; Metazoa; Chordata; Aves; Galliformes; Phasianidae
Source: RefSeq, a predicted model, not a curated record